GAGUGUGUUUGUUUGUGUGCAUGCAAGUAUGUAAAUAUGUGCGUUGGCGUGUGUGUGUCCCUGUGUGUGUUUAAUGUUCAGUGACAUUCCCUCUGUCCUCAGAGACACUGCAUCAUUGCUGUCCUCCUUAGAUCGCUGUGACAGGUUGGGUGGGAGUUCAGACACACUGCCAAGGCAAUAUCUCUGCGUGGUACUCAGGGGAACCCAGGAGAACACCCAGGAAGUCACGGUCGUUGACUUGCAGGACGUUUAUAGUAGUCACAGAUGGACUGACACUGUGGCCAGUGAGCCUGCGAGAGGACUGUUUAAGACAAGGCAAUGACAGAGUAUUAUGCCAUACUCCCGAGGAGGAUGAGCUGGCCAAUCAGCAGUCUAGAGGAGGAUGAGCUGGCCAAUAACUCGCCAAGAUGAUCAUCAAGGACCUCAGCCACCCGAGCAAAGGUCUGUUCACAUCGCUACCAUCUAUUUUAUUUAUCCCUUAUUUUACCAGGUAAGUUGACUGAGAACACAUUCUCAUUUACAGCAACAACCUGGGGAAUAGUUACAGGGGAGAGGGUAUGAAUGAGUGGUGCAGUUGUCUAAGGCACUGCAUCUCAGUGCAAGAGAUGUCUCUGCAGUACCUGGUUGAAAUCCAGGCUGCAUCACAUCUGGUCGUGAUAGGGAGUCCCAUAGGGCUGCGCACAAAUGGCCCAGCAUUGUCCGGGUUUGGCUGGGGUAGGCCGUCAUUGUAAAUAAGAAUUUGUUCUUAACUGACUUGCCUGGUUAAAUAAAUAAAAAAUGAGCCAAUUGUAAACUGGGGAUGAUUAGGUGAUCAUGACGGUAUGAGGGCCAGAUUGGGAAAUUAGUUGGGACACCAGGGUUAACACC
This 867-nucleotide long non-coding RNA is filed under the name Salmo trutta (river trout). RNAcentral describes it as "lncRNA (ENSSTUG00000050263.1)". Lineage: Eukaryota; Metazoa; Chordata; Actinopteri; Salmoniformes; Salmonidae. The record is from RNAcentral.